Molecule: non-coding RNA, 4881 nt
Organism: Arachis ipaensis
Lineage: Eukaryota; Viridiplantae; Streptophyta; Magnoliopsida; Fabales; Fabaceae
Source: RefSeq, a predicted model, not a curated record
AAAAGUUAGUUCAUUGGUCCAUUAAUAAAAGUUCUUGCAUCAGCACAAAAAAAAAAGACAUAAAAUGGCACUAAUAUUACGGCAGCUCUACAAAUGGCACUAAUUUUUGUGGUGCCAUAAUUAAUUUACACCUGAUGGCGAUUUUUGUGGAUUCAGGCGGUUUUAAAAUGCCAUUACCACAUUGUAUAAAAAAUCCCAACCCUGACUUAACCUUCAUUACACGUUCCACGCGAGACGAUGGCCACUGUGAGAGAACGGUUGAAUCUCUGCCACUCGCGAUCUCAUCUGUUCACAAUCUCCUCCGGCGACGUCUCUUCACACGACUUCUCCUCCUGCGACAUCUCCUCCAGCAACAGUCUCCUCACGGGACGUCUCCUCCAGUAACGGUCUCCUCCGGCGAUGUCUCCUCUAGCAUCAAUUUCCUCCUCAAAAGUUUUCCUAUGCGGCAAUCUCGUCCAUUGAGCUACCGUGUUGCGAGUUUCUCCUCCGAUGGCAGACUCGCAAGGUAGGUUCUUCUCCCUUUUUUCCUUUGUUCUCUUGAAAAUAUUUCAUUCUAAUCGAUUGUCUUAGGCUUGCCUUUAUUGGAUGAAAAAUUUAAUUAAAUUGGUUUAAAUCUUAGCAUAGUAGUCAAAAUAGGUUGCUUACUGUUCUCUUUAUUUUGCUUGCAAUGUUUCUAUUCUUUAGCUGUUUCUUGUUUUGAUUUAGGGGUAGAUAAUGGUUUGAUUGGUUAAUUUGAUGGUGAAUUCUACUUUGCUUUUCUUAUUCCGAGAAGGUAGCGUGUGUGACUUCUUAGUUGCAUGCUCUUGAUUUGUUAUUUUUCUGAUUUUUAAUGGGUUUCGUAUGCAUGUGAAUGGUAAUUAGAUUGUUGUUUCUACCAUUGAUCUGAUAAGCAAUAUGUAUGGGAAGCAGUUGUUGAUAGUAACUCCUAUGUGAUUACACUCUACUUAAAAGCACUUAACAUUGUUUUAGACUUGCUAAUAACCUUGUUGAAAAUCAUUUGGCUCUCUGCGACGAUACCAAGCUUUUUCCCUUGUGCUCCAAGCUCAUCUCUCUCUGCAUCGUCUCACUCUCCUCCUACUCUAUGCUGUUCGCAACAAGUACUUCCAUCCAGAUAAUAUGUCCUCAGAAAAAAGUUGAAAAUUGAACUUGCAAAGGUUAGAGAUGAGUUCAAAAUGUCAGAGUCAAAUCAUGGAUCUGCUCGAGUUCAAGUUGCACAACUCACAACUAAGAUUAAACAUCUAUCAGUUGUUCUACACAAGAAGAUUCAGGUGGGGAUCCUAAAACGUGUUCUUGAAGAAGUUGAAAAAGUGAUAAAUGAGUUCAAGGCAAUGCUUUUAAAAUUACAUUUCAUAUUGGACAUGACACUGGUACAGUUUGCCUCAGUAAAUUUAGAAUAAAACAUGACUAUUCAAAUUGUUAUGUGAGAAAAGACUGAGUCUACCCUGAUAAACAUUAUACAUUCUGGAAGUUGCUGAAAUUCUUGAUAAUACCGUGAGGUUGCUAUUGGAUUUGGAACCAGAGUCUGAUCUAGUCUGACAUUAUUUGAAUAUACAAGUUUGGAAAUUUUGUUCGUACCCAUUGUUUGAAAUAUUUGUCAUUUAUUUUCAUAUUUUGCUACUAGAGUUGUUGUAACUUUGCAUAUAUAUUGUGUAGCUUAUAGCUCCCCUGUCCAAUGUCCCUUUCACUUUUAAUAUUCUCUCUUUUAUAAGCUUCACUUAUUCCUUAAGAACCUUAAGGCUAGUUUGGAUUGUGAAAAUAUUUAUUUUUUCAUUUCUAAUAUUUUUUGUUUUUAAGAUUAUUGUGAAGAAAAUGAAAAGAAUAAAAUUGUGUUUUCUAUUUUUUUUUCACUCACAAAAUCCUGAAAAUAGAAAAUGUUUUCACAAAAAUAAGCCUUUAGUUUUUACUUUGAGAUGGCUGAAUGUGGAGUCCAUUGGGUUCUAUUCCUUUACAGAAUCAGAGAAUCUAAGGUUUGUGUGAGAAGUGUACAUCAGAUCAUGGGGUCAGAAUGGAACAUCUGAAGAAGGAAUUGCAUGAAAAAUGCUCUUUCUGAUGCUAAGUAGAGGAAGAUUCAAGAUGAAUUGGGUGAAUCUUCAGAUAUCAACAGCUCUCCUAUUGUUGGUAAUACCCAAUCUCAUCUGGUAGAUCUAACUGGUGAAGAGGUAAUUGAUGCACUAAGAGGAAAGUAUAUCCGUAGAUUAACUACUGUAAUCAUUCGCCACAUACCAGCCUUCUGAAAGGUUGCACUCUCUGUUUUCAGUGGAAAAUUUGCUAAGAGUUGAAGAAAAAGCUGGAGACGCAAAAUACUCGAGUCGUUCUAUAGAUGAAGUUGCUGCAAUGAUAUGCAGCAUAAUUUCGGUUUAUAGAAACAAGGAGAUGAGUCCGGAUAAUGAAAGUUGGAGUGUCAGAGCAAGAAACAAAGAUGUUGGAACAAGUUCCAAGAAUGGAACUCACACAAGAGACCAAGAAACUAAGACAGGAUAUCAAGGAUAUGAAGAAGAGGUCGAAGAAGAUUGAGAAGAAAACUAGCUCCCUUCAAGAAAUGGAACAUUUAUAAUGAAGACCUUGAUAGAUGUGAAUGAUAGGUAUAAUUGAAACUUCUUAUUGGAUGAAGAUGGUGAUAUCAUACAUAUUGAUCUUGGCUUCAUGCUUUCCAACUCACCUGCUGGUGUUAAUUUUAAAAGUGCGCUUUUCAAGUUAAUCCAAAAGCUUUUUGAGAUUGGGUGCCGGUGGUACAGCUGGGCUGGGGAUGCUGCUAAAGGGGAAGCUACGCGUGAUAAUACAGGAGGGAGAGACGAUAUUGUUGCUUUGGUACAAAGAUAAGGUCUUUGCAAUUGAGAAUCGCUCUCCUGCUAAAAGCACUUACAGUGAGGGUUUGCUCAAUGGGAACUCACUACCAAGCUCUCCCAGGCUAGGCUUCUAUCUUUUUUUUCUUUAUGUUCAUACACUAUUCAAUUAUAUUUAAUUUAGGGCUUUUGCCUAAUUAUAGUAAAUUGCUUAGUAAUUGCUGCUAUUAAAUGUGUGAAGUUGGUUAGCUAUAUUUCUUGAGAAUUUCACUUCAUUAUUUUCACUUGGGAUUGAUUAAUUGUGAAUUAAGAUUUAAAUAUAACUCAAUUCCUUUCGAUGGGCAAAUAAAAGCAAAUCAAAGAAUGAGGUCUGAUUUGAUGAUGAAAUUGUUGUUGAACACGUGUCUAUAUAUCUGAAGUCAAAUAAAAGAUUCAAUUCAUGAUGAAGUUAUUCCAAACCAAUUAAUUCAAAUUAAAUCGGUUACAUAAUUUCUUAGUUUUCCAAACUAAUAAUGGUUUAACUAAUAACAGAAGUAAUGUUAGGUUCUUGUUUCUAGGUUGAAUUGAAUUGAAAUAAGGAUUUUAGCAACGGUAAAAAAUCGUCGCCAUAGAUCGAAAAACCGUUUCUAAAAUUUUAGGCAACGCUUUGGCAACAGUUUUUGACCUAUAGUAUAUGCGGCCAUUGCCAAUACUCAUAGGCAACAGUUUUUUACCUAAGGCAACGGCAACUAAAAAAACCGUUGCCAUAGUUACUGGCAUAGACAACGUUUUGACAAUAAUUUUUAAAGAACGGUUUAGAACCGUUACUGGAUAGACAACGGUUUAAAACCAUAACUGGAUAGGUAACGGUUUUAAGCUGUUGUAGUUUUGUUAUUCACAAAGACAAUAGUUUAAAAACAUUGCCUUUGGUGUUGUUUUUUUCGCAAUGGUUUUAAUACCAUUGCCAUUUUGUAGCUGUCUUUGACAACGAUUUUAACAACAUUGUCUUUGCAACUUUUGACAACGAUAUUUUUGUAGUUAUAUAUUGCUUUAUUUAGAAUAGUUUUCUCAUGUUGCAUUAAAAUUAAUAUUUUAACUAUUUUUUAGUGUCAAUAGAUUAAUAUUCCAACCAUUUGAAUCAAAUCACUAAAAAAAUAAUUGAACAUUUGAUUUAUAACAUAUUCUAUAAGAUUCAUACAUGUUUGUAACCUAUAAAAAAAAGAUUUUAGAAGUCAAAUAAACUUAGAUACUUUAAAAUCACAUAAUAAGAGUCUAAGUCAUAACAAUAUCUAAUCAUAAACAAAAGAGAUUUGAUAUAUUAUAAUAGCAAAUAGACUCCCCAUCAUCUCCACAAAUUGGUGAUUUUUACUCUCUAGUGUUUGAUCUUAUAAUGUGUGAUUAAAUUCUUCCUCACCUUCAUCAUGAUUUUCCUAUGAACAAAAAAAUUAGCAAAUUAAAUAUAAUGCUAAGCCUACUGCUAAUAAUGCUUACUAAUAGAGAGAAUGGACGAGGGAAAGAAAGAUAACUGCUAGUGAUUUUUCUUAUGUAUUUUCUUAUUAAUAGCUAGGUCAUAAUAGCUUAUUAAUUUGGUCAAGCAAAUUAAUAAUCUCAUUUAAAUAUAAUACAAGAAGAAACAAAAUACCAAAGAAAAGACAAGUAAAACCAUCAUUUGAGAUUGUAUAUUAUGUCUAAAGAGGCUACCAUUGACAAUUAUUCUUGUGCUUCAGUUCAGUUGUGUUGAUCAAGUGAUGAAUCCACAUUUUAUGGUAUUUAUUUGUUCUAUUUGGGUGGAUUUUAUCAACUUUUCUUGCACUUAUCCAUUGAAAUAUUUGCACUUAUCCACAUUUCUCUUAUCAACUUUUAUUUGCAUCUUACUAUCCUAUCUUCUAUCUUUCAUGAGUGAUCCACCAUAAACAACAAGGGAAGCGGGAGAAAGGGCAUACAGCAGCCGAUUGAUCCACCAGCUGAAGGUGGAAAUCCGAAGUCGCUACACCCCCUAGUUCACCUUUGAGUGCACGGAGGACCGUACAAACCUUUAAGUGUGGGGAGGUCGUCACCGAUCAACAACCUUGGAUUUCCAAGGCAAGUAUGGGUUGAAGAAGUGAGAAAAAAAGAGCAU